RNAcentral lists this ribosomal RNA (253 nucleotides) under uncultured bacterium. RNAcentral's name for it is "partial 16S ribosomal RNA". It matches the Rfam family "Bacterial small subunit ribosomal RNA", at positions 524 to 776 of the family's 1533-position model. The record is from RNAcentral.
CACGGGGGGAGCAAGCGUUGUUCGGAAUCACUGGGCGUAAAGGGCGUGUAGGCGGUCAGGUAAGUGGGAUGUGAAAGCCCUCGGCUCACCCGAGGAUCUGCAUCUCAAACUGCCUGGCUUGAGUAUGGGAGAGGAUGAGGGAAUUCCUGGUGUAGCGGUGAAAUGCGUAGAUAUCAGGAGGGACACCGGUGGCGAAGGCGCUCAUCUGGCCCAAUACUGACGCUGAGGCGCGAAAGCUAGGGGAGCAAACGGG